Molecule: ribosomal RNA, 497 nt
Filed under: uncultured bacterium
Lineage: Bacteria
Description: partial 16S ribosomal RNA
Rfam family: Bacterial small subunit ribosomal RNA
Source: RNAcentral
GAUGAACGCUGGCGGCGUGCCUAAUACAUGCAAGUCGAGCGAACAGAUGAGGAGCUUGCUCCUCUGACGUUAGCGGCGGACGGGUCAGUAACACGUGGAUAACCUACCUAUAAGACUGGGAUAACUUCGGGAAACCGGAGCUAAUACCGGAUAAUAUAUUGAACCGCAUGGUUCAAUAGUGAAAGACGGUUUUGCUGUCACUUAUAGAUGGAUCCGCGCCGCAUUAGCUAGUUGGUAAGGUAACGGCUUACCAAGGCAACGAUGCGUAGCCGACCUGAGAGGGUGAUCGGCCACACUGGAACUGAGACACGGUCCAGACUCCUACGGGAGGCAGCAGUAGGGAAUCUUCCGCAAUGGGCGAAAGCCUGACGGAGCAACGCCGCGUGAGUGAUGAAGGUCUUCGGAUCGUAAAACUCUGUUAUUAGGGAAGAACAAAUGUGUAAGUAACUAUGCACGUCUUGACGGUACCUAAUCACAAAGCCACGGCUAACUACGUG